Molecule: ribosomal RNA, 468 nt
Filed under: uncultured bacterium
Lineage: Bacteria
Description: bacterial SSU rRNA
Rfam family: Bacterial small subunit ribosomal RNA
Source: RNAcentral
ACUCCUACGGGAGGCAGCAGUGAGGAAUAUUGGACAAUGGGGGCAACCCUGAUCCAGCCAUGCCGCGUGCAGGAAGACUGCCCUAUGGGUUGUAAACUGCUUUUGUACAGGAAGAAACAUUCCCUCGUGAGGGAGCUUGACGGUACUGUAAGAAUAAGGAUCGGCUAACUCCGUGCCAGCAGCCGCGGUAAUACGGAGGAUCCAAGCGUUAAUCGGAGUUAUUGGGCGUAAAGGGUGCGUAGGUUGUUAUUUAAGUCAUGUGGGAAAUACCUGGGCUCAACCUGGGAAUGACGGAUGAUACUGAAUGACUAGAGUAUAGUAGAGGGUAGUGGAAUUUCCGGUGUAGCGGUGAAAUGCGUAGAGAUCGGAAGGAACACCAGUGGCGAAGGCGGCUACCUGGACUAAUACUGACACUGAGGCACGAAAGCGUGGGGUAGCAAACAGGAUUAGAUACCCUGGUAGGUCAGU